CUUCUUGCCCAAACUCUCUUCUCCUCUGAACUCUCUUUUCCCAACUCUUAUCUCUUCUCUACCUCUCAUCCACGCCAUGUCUAAACUCUAAACACAGUGAAUAAUUCACCGUGUUUGAAAAAAAUACAAUUAUAUGUAUUACGAAAAAAAUAUAAGUAUUAAAAAAAGGGAAUACAAAAAAUAUAAGUACGGAACAUGGUGAAUGGACCGUUCACCGUAAUUGAACACGAUGAAUGAUUUACCGUGUCUAAAAAAAAUAUAUCAUUUAUCGUGUUUGAACGCGAUGAAUGAUUCACAGUGUUCAACUUAUCACCCCUCUAGCUUUUACAAAAAUAAUUUAUAAAUUUAAAUUUUAUAAAAAUAUAUCUGUUUGUUAUAAUCGGAACGAUGAAAAAUAGAUCCAGAAAAUAAUUUAAUGCAGGAAAAGAAAAGAUAAGGAAAAAGUAUACCAAUAUUUACGUGGUUCGGCCAAUGACCUACGUCCACGGACGAAGACGGAGUAAAUACUUUAUUAAUGUCGAAAAAACGGAAUACAAAAAAGAUCUCUCAAAAAAUAACCAAAGCUUAAUUAGCCGCACCUAGCAAUUCCAAAAUU
Molecule: long non-coding RNA, 595 nt
Filed under: Ananas comosus (pineapple)
Lineage: Eukaryota; Viridiplantae; Streptophyta; Magnoliopsida; Poales; Bromeliaceae
Description: long non-coding RNA (ACOM_LNC039328)
Source: RNAcentral